RNAcentral lists this ribosomal RNA (254 nucleotides) under uncultured bacterium. Its description in RNAcentral is "partial 16S ribosomal RNA". It matches the Rfam family "Bacterial small subunit ribosomal RNA", at positions 524 to 776 of the family's 1533-position model. The record is from RNAcentral.
UACGUAGGGUGCAAGCGUUGUCCGGAAUCAUUGGGCGUAAAGCGCGCGUAGGCGGCCCGAUAAGUCCGCUGUAAAAGUCAACGGCUCAACUGUUGAAAGCCGGUGGAUACUGUCGGGCUAGAGUACGGAAGAGGCAAGUGGAAUUCCUGGUGUAGCGGUGGAAUGCGCAGAUAUCGGGAGGAACACCUGUGGCGAAAGCGGCGCACUGGACCACAACUGACGCUGGAGGCGCGAAAGCUAGGGGAGCAAACAGG